UAAGGGGGCCCGCGCGCGCCACACGGGUUUCAGCCGGUGACGUAGCUGCCUGUUAACUCACCAAGCGACAUUACCGUAUUUACAUUUCUGUAUCAGAGAACUCGCGAGGUGUAGGCCUACUUCCUACCGGCAUUUUAUCUGUAUGUUUCUAAAAUAUCCCUUAUAUACAGCGUAUAUAUAAAUACAGCGUACGCGAAUAUCUGACAAUGAUCGUCCCACACCACUGAUUUCACCCUAUUUAACCACCAAUCUGAUCAUAUGUUCAUAGAAGAAUACCUGGAUGAAGAUGAGGAACCACCUUUGCUGCUCAGCUCUUGUCCUUCUCACGGUGUUUUGCUCUGGAGGGACUGUAGCCGUGCAGUGUCGGUGGGGGGAGGGGUGUGUGUGUCUGGAGUGCCCCAGUGGCCAAGAGCCAAUCAAGGCUUGCUGGCAGGUCGAGGGGCCAGGCGAGGCGAUCCGAUGCCAAUCUUGUCCAGCUAGUACUUUUUCGGACAGCUAUGACUCUGAUCAAUGCCGCCCACAUUCCUCCUGUGGGGUCCUCAACAAAAAGGUUGUGACCUCUGGUACAUCGCACUCUGAUGCUGUCUGCGGAGACUGUCUGUAUGGGUUCCACGCCACUGCUGGGAGGACAGCCUCCACCCUGGCCUGUGUGAGAGCCCCCCCUGCCCAGUCUACCCACGUGCGCGUGGUGCGUACGGUGGAUAAGGGCUCGACGGGCAGUGGCGGCCUGCCGGUGAACGGUACAGCAGUACGGAGCCCGGAUGAGAAGAGUACAGAGUAUGCAGUGUUCGCCCUGGUGCCAAUCUUCUGUGUGAUGGGACUCCUGGGGAUCCUCAUCUGUAAUAUCCUCAAGAAGAAAGGAUACAACUGCACUGCUGAGAAGGAGGGAGGAGAUGAGGAGAAUGCUACACCACAGAAAGAGGGUAACGCUUGUCCCUACAUCGUAGACGAUCCUAAUGAAGACACCAUCAGUGUUCUAGUGCGCCUCAUCACAGAAAAGAAAGAGAAUGCUGCUGCCCUGGAGGAGCUGCUACUGGAGUACGAGAGUAAACAGAUGGCCAUCAGCAAAGCCUCCUCAAUCAAGUUCCCGGUGCUGUCUCCGUUGACUCAUUUCCUCUCCUUACCCAGACUUUGUCCUCACCAGUCUCACCUCCACACCAUCUCUGGUCUGUCUGGCCUGUCUGGCCCCCGACACGGCUACUGCUGCUCCCGCUGUGCCCAGAAGAAAUGGCCCCCCAUCCUCCUGCCCCCCCUCGGCCCCCUCAAACCCCCAAAGUUCCUCCUGACCCCCCUCAAACACCCUCUGGACCUCCAGACCCUCCAGAAGACCCCUCUCCUACCCCCCGUGGACACACACCACUCCACCACUAAGAUCUCCCAGACGCCCAGGGCUGGGUCAGGGUUACUCCCUGAAGGGAAGUGGAGGAUUCCUGGGGAGGUGACCCGGUCUGUUGGGAGGUUUCAGGUGGCUCAGAUUCAGGAGCAGAGGCCUGGUUCCGUGGAGAUGACGUUCUGCCCAGAGUCGAGUGACUCAGUGGAGGAUUCAUCUCUGCUGGGGGUGAACAAGUCAUCCUCGUCAUCAUCCUCACCAGCUGCCAGGGGUACACAGGAGUUGGCAUCCCAUCCCUGACAGUUAGUGAGGAAGCUACUGACCCCUGGUGGUGACAUUGGGAACACACACCACCUCAAGUCCUGCCUGUUAACAGCUAAACAUUUGCAGAGUGGAAUGCUGGGUAAAAAUAACUCUACCUCGCUGAUCGAUGGAUGUGAUGGGAUUCCAAAAUGGCGACCAGAGAAUUUGGGAUUUGGGAAGUUAGCCUGGGUUCCAGACAAAGGGAAACCCUUGUAUUUAUAACACAAACAAGUUGUAUCUAUUCCUAUUGUCUUUAGAGGCAGGGAGAAGAGAGGAGGAACAAACUAUGAAUUAACCCAACCGUGUGGUCAACACAGUCUGCACUCGACCCUGUGCAAUACACACACACACACACACACACACACACACACACACACACACACACACACACACACACACACACACACACACACACACACACACA
This is a non-coding RNA of Oncorhynchus mykiss (rainbow trout), 2057 nucleotides long. The record is from RefSeq and is a predicted model, not a curated record. Lineage: Eukaryota; Metazoa; Chordata; Actinopteri; Salmoniformes; Salmonidae.